AGUGAACGCUGGCGGCAGGCCUAACACAUGCAAGUCGAGCGGCAGCGGGUCCUUCGGGAUGCCGGCGAGCGGCGGACGGGUGAGGAAUGCGUCGGAAUCUGCCUUUCUGUGGGGGAUAACGUAGGGAAACUUACGCUAAUACCGCAUACGACCUACGGGUGAAAGUGGGGGACCGCAAGGCCUCACGCAGAAAGAUGAGCCGACGUCGGAUUAGCUAGUUGGCGGGGUAAAGGCCCACCAAGGCGACGAUCCGUAGCUGGUCUGAGAGGAUGAUCAGCCACACUGGAACUGAGACACGGUCCAGACUCCUACGGGAGGCAGCAGUGGGGAAUAUUGGACAAUGGGCGCAAGCCUGAUCCAGCCAUGCCGCGUGUGUGAAGAAGGCCUUCGGGUUGUAAAGCACUUUUGUCUGGAAAGAAAUCCUGUCGGCUAAUACCCGGCGGGGAUGACGGUACCGGAAGAAUAAGCACCGGCUAACUUCGUG
RNAcentral lists this ribosomal RNA (484 nucleotides) under uncultured bacterium. RNAcentral describes it as "partial 16S ribosomal RNA". It matches the Rfam family "Bacterial small subunit ribosomal RNA", at positions 29 to 507 of the family's 1533-position model. The record is from RNAcentral.